GAUGAACGCUGGCGGCGUGCCUAAUACAUGCAAGUCGAGCGAACAGACGGGGAGCUUGCUCCUCUGACGUUAGCGGCGGACGGGUGAGUAACACGUGGAUAACCUACCUAUAAGACUGGGAUAACUUCGGGAAACCGGAGCUAAUACCGGAUAAUAUAUUGAACCGCAUGGUUCAAUAGUGAAAGACGGUUUUGCUGUCACUUAUAGAUGGAUCCGCGCCGCAUUAGCUAGUUGGUAAGGUAACGGCUUACCAAGGCAACGAUGCGUAGCCGACCUGAGAGGGUGAUCGGCCACACUGGAACUGAGACACGGUCCAGACUCCUACGGGAGGCAGCAGUAGGGAAUCUUCCGCAAUGGGCGAAAGCCUGACGGAGCAACGCCGCGUGAGUGAUGAAGGUCUUCGGAUCGUAAAACUCUGUUAUUAGGGAAGAACAAAUGUGUAAGUAACUAUGCACGUCUGGACGGUACCUAAGCAGAAAGCCACGGCUAACUACGG
RNAcentral lists this ribosomal RNA (496 nucleotides) under uncultured bacterium. RNAcentral's name for it is "partial 16S ribosomal RNA". It matches the Rfam family "Bacterial small subunit ribosomal RNA", at positions 28 to 506 of the family's 1533-position model. The record is from RNAcentral.